RNAcentral lists this ribosomal RNA (487 nucleotides) under Lactobacillus acidophilus. RNAcentral's name for it is "bacterial SSU rRNA". It matches the Rfam family "Bacterial small subunit ribosomal RNA", at positions 567 to 1052 of the family's 1533-position model. Lineage: Bacteria; Bacillati; Bacillota; Bacilli; Lactobacillales; Lactobacillaceae. The record is from RNAcentral.
GAGCGCAGGCGGAAGAUUAAGUCUGAUGUGAAAGCCCUCGGCUUAACCGAGGAACUGCAUCGGAAACUGUUUUUCUUGAGUGCAGAAGAGGAGAGUGGAACUCCAUGUGAAGCGGUGGAAUGCGUAGAUAUAUGGAAGAACACCAGUGGCGAAGGCGGCUCUCUGGUCUGCAACUGACGCUGAGGCUCGAAAGCAUGGGUAGCGAACAGGAUUAGAUACCCUGGUAGUCCAUGCCGUAAACGAUGAGUGCUAAGUGUUGGGAGGUUUCCGCCUCUCAGUGCUGCAGCUAACGCAUUAAGCACUCCGCCUGGGGAGUACGACCGCAAGGUUGAAACUCAAAGGAAUUGACGGGGGCCCGCACAAGCGGUGGAGCAUGUGGUUUAAUUCGAAGCAACGCGAAGAACCUUACCAGGUCUUGACAUCUAGUGCAAUCCGUAGAGAUACGGAGUACCCUUCGGGGACACUAAGACAGGUGGAGCAUGGCAGA